GAGAAGCCAGGAAGAGUCUGAACUCAGGGUCUCUGAACUGGACAAACAGACACGAGGCCUGCAGGAGGCUGUGAGACAGAGGCAACAGGCUGAACAGGAGGUGCAAGAGAGCUAUGCACUCUUGCAGGGAGAAAAGGAUCAGCUUCAGGAGCAGGUGGCUACUUUGCAGACCACUGCACAUCGGCUGCAGGGAGAGAAAGCUGAGCUGGAGAGGACACUGCUCCGUCUGGAAAAAGACAGGUCCUCUCUAAAGCGUACCCUGGAGAAGGUAGAAAAGAAUCGCCAAAGGAAGGUGGUGGAGGUACUGCAUGCUGAGCGUGAGAGAGAACAGCAAGAACAAAAGAUCCGAAAUCUAGAGCAAGAUUUAAGUGAGACACAGACCGAAAUUCACACACUACAGGUGAUAGAGAUACAUACGAAUAUUAUGAAUUUUAUAAUACAUGGAUCA
This 448-nucleotide long non-coding RNA is filed under the name Sinocyclocheilus anshuiensis. Its description in RNAcentral is "lncRNA (ENSSANG00000049434.1)". Lineage: Eukaryota; Metazoa; Chordata; Actinopteri; Cypriniformes; Cyprinidae. The record is from RNAcentral.